AAAUAAACAAAUAAUAUUAAUUUUUGGUUUUUACCGGAGAAACCAAAAAAUCAAAAAUUUUAACCGAAUUAACUAAAAUGAAUAUUAAUUUAAAAUAAUAGUUAUAUUUUAGAAGAUUAAAAACAAAAAAAAAACUUAAAACCGAACCAAUAUCCAUAUUAGACAGAUUUAAUGUAUUUUUAUUAAAAAUAACCAAACUAAUAAAUACAUUCCGCGCAAGGCGCGGAUUAUUACCUAGUAUUGCAUUACAUUGCAUGUGAUCUUCUUUUACAUAUACAAAAAUGAUUAGCCUUC
Molecule: long non-coding RNA, 294 nt
Filed under: Brassica rapa (field mustard)
Lineage: Eukaryota; Viridiplantae; Streptophyta; Magnoliopsida; Brassicales; Brassicaceae
Description: long non-coding RNA (BRAP_LNC001662)
Source: RNAcentral